This 1262-nucleotide ribosomal RNA is filed under the name Helotiales sp. RNAcentral describes it as "LSU rRNA". It matches the Rfam family "Eukaryotic large subunit ribosomal RNA", at positions 57 to 1126 of the family's 3401-position model. The record is from RNAcentral. Lineage: Eukaryota; Fungi; Ascomycota; Leotiomycetes; Helotiales.
AAAAGAAACCAACAGGGAUUGCCUCAGUAACGGCGAGUGAAGCGGCAACAGCUCAAAUUUGAAAUCUGGCUUCGGUCCGAGUUGUAAUUUGUAGAAGAUGCUUUGGGUGUGGCUCCGGUCUAAGUUCCUUGGAACAGGACGUCGUAGAGGGUGAGAAUCCCGUAUGUGACUGGCAGCCUUCGCCCGUGCAAAGCUCUUUCGACGAGUCGAGUUGUUUGGGAAUGCAGCUCAAAAUGGGUGGUAUAUUUCAUCUAAAGCUAAAUAUUGGCCAGAGACCGAUAGCGCACAAGUAGAGUGAUCGAAAGAUGAAAAGCACUUUGGAAAGAGAGUUAAACAGUACGUGAAAUUGUUGAAAGGGAAGCGCUUGCAAUCAGACUUGCGCGCGGUCGAUCAUCCGGCGUUUUCGCCGGUGCACUCGAUCGUGCUCAGGCCAGCAUCGGUUUGGGUGGUUGAAUAAAGGCCUGGGGAAUGUAGCUUCCCUCGGGGAGUGUUAUAGCCCUGGGUGCAAUGCAGCCUACCUGGACCGAGGACCGCGCUUCGGCUAGGAUGCUGGCGUAAUGGUUGUAAGCGACCCGUCUUGAAACACGGACCAAGGAGUCUAACAUCUAUGCGAGUAUUUGGGUGUUAAACCCAUAUGCGUAAUUAACGUGAACGGAGGUAAGAGCCCUUAAGGGUGCAUUAUCGACCGGUCCUGAUGUCUUCGGAUGGAUCUGAGUAAGAGCAUAGCUGUUGGGACCCGAAAGAUGGUGAACUAUGCCUGAAUAGGGUGAAGCCAGAGGAAACUCUGGUGGAGGCUCGCAGCGGUUCUGACGUGCAAAUCGAUCGUCAAAUUUGGGUAUAGGGGCGAAAGACUAAUCGAACCAUUGUUACUGGGUGGUCAAAAGAUGCCUGUGGAAAGCAGCAUCUAGUCCAAGAGCCAUGGGCAAUAUUACCAAAUUGUUCGGGGACGUCCUGUUUUAAAUUCUAAACUACCGCAGCUGCCUCGAAAGACGUAGUGCGCACUGGGUUAGCGACCCUAGGGAUGGUAAUAACGUUUAGAUAGGGAUUAUCCGCAGCCAAGUCCUACGGGGAUACUUCUCCCUACGGAUGCAGUUCACAGACUAAAUGGUGGUAGGCCUAGCGACGCUAGGUUUAAGUUAUAGUCGAUCCGCCAGGAGACUGGUCGACGUACGCGGACAUUGCAAAAGUGGCUUUUGUUUUUGUGUUGUCGUCGCUACGUUGGGAGACGUGCCCAGCACGUCUUUGGGGAAGUUAGCUCCUUG